RNAcentral lists this ribosomal RNA (231 nucleotides) under uncultured bacterium. RNAcentral's name for it is "partial 16S ribosomal RNA". It matches the Rfam family "Bacterial small subunit ribosomal RNA", at positions 99 to 334 of the family's 1533-position model. The record is from RNAcentral.
CGGACGGGUGAGUAAUGUCUGGGAAACUGCCCGAUGGAGGGGGAUAACUACUGGAAACGGUAGCUAAUACCGCAUAACGUCGCAAGACCAAAGAGGGGACCUUCGGGCCUCUUGCCAUCGGAUGUGCCCAUAUGGGAUUAGCUAGUAGGUAAGGUAACGGCUUACCUAGGCGACGAUCCCUAGCUGGUCUGAGAGGAUGAUCAGCCACACUGGAACUGAGACACGGUCCAG